CUGGCCAUGCUGGGGCGGGGCUUCCAGGGACAGCACUAACCGAGCGCAGCAUCAGCUGCAGCAUCUCACAGUGACUGGUGCCAGGCCCGCAGCCCAGCACUCCACCUGUGGAGGCUCCUCUAGGACAGCAUUGCUGUGAGGUGGCCACAGCCAGACUCACUGAGAGUGAGAAUCUGAGGCUCCAAAGGGACAAGAGACUUGCUGAAGGACACGGAAAGGCGUCAUAACCUAGGGCUGUCUGCUGACGCCUCAAGAAGUCCCCUAAAUGACAGACCAUCCACCAAAGACACAGCUGAUUCCCAGAUGCUGAGGAAUGACCCCAAUACCAACAGGGAUUGGUGCGGUUGUUCCACAUGGUGUCUGGAUCUCUCAGAAUACGUGGCUGACCAGAAGAUGUUCUCAAGAGCUUGGGUCACUCAUCACUGCACCUCAUUUUCUGAGGAGUGGGAACAGCAAACACACGCACAGAUAUGGCUGUGGGGCUGGAGUGCAUGGAUGUGAUUGUUUGAAAACCAUAGAUUGAACUGCUAUUGGGCCAUCCUGCUUAGCGGAAGAAGGAGAGAAAUGAAAAGAGCAGAGAAGAAAUGAGGAACAAGGUAUACGGCUUU
Molecule: long non-coding RNA, 608 nt
Filed under: Equus asinus (donkey)
Lineage: Eukaryota; Metazoa; Chordata; Mammalia; Perissodactyla; Equidae
Description: lncRNA (ENSEASG00005024857.1)
Source: RNAcentral